UUUUUUUCCCUUCAAAUUAGUCUUUUUUUCAAUUUAUCUUCCUGUAAAAGCAAUUGUUUGGGAAACAUUUAUCAUUCUAUGCCUGAUAUUUAUACAUAUUAUAUUUUUUUUUUCGAUAUCAUGAAUUAUAGCUCAACAUUCUGAAACUGAAGCUCUUGAGGAGCUGUUAUCCCUUAAAAGGGUUU
Populus euphratica (Euphrates poplar) is the source of this 185-nucleotide long non-coding RNA. RefSeq lists it as uncharacterized. The record is from RefSeq and is a predicted model, not a curated record. Lineage: Eukaryota; Viridiplantae; Streptophyta; Magnoliopsida; Malpighiales; Salicaceae. The transcript has 2 exons.